ACCCGCUCACUGGUGAGCUCCGCGAGAGUGUACUUCUCUCCGUCCCUGGAGCGCCACGGCGUGCUGGUGCAUAGUAAGCAUCUGUCCAUGUCUGUCCAGUUGAAUGUCUUGAGAGUCACUUGACCUUCUCAGCAGCUCUGGAGAACCCACAUUGACCAGAGACUUUGCAGUCAGCUCACCCCUCCAACUCCUCACCCUGGAGUCCCUGACCCCGGAAUUUCUGCAUCAGGCUGCUCAAACCUGAAUUUGACAAAAUUUCAAAGCACUGUUUCUUUACGUUGAUAAGACAACGGAUAAAGUGCCAUACUUGGAACCUAGAUCAUUCGAUGUUGCCUGUAGCUGAGUCCACUUCUGUCACUCACCCUGCAUUGCCCUGCUAGGAGCAAGGGAGAGAAAGCCAGCCAGAAGGCAUGGGCUCAAAUCUGGCUCCUCCUGUGGCCACUGUGAAAGCUGAUCAUACAACGGUCACUGUUGUCAUAGCCAAGCAGAGUUACGAGACCACGGGGAAAAGCACUUGGACCACAUAACAUUGCUCCAAGAGUAUAACUGUCUCCAACCCUGGCUGCUGGAACAAGUGUUGCAACCUGAAACCAGUUUGAUCUAAUAGCUACGGAAACAACCUGCGGAAAUCUAAGACUGGUUUCACCCACUCACCAGUCAGAGCUUGCCAGAUCCCCAGAACGUUGCUAGUGCUAAUGAACUUGCUUUCCUAACAAUCCGUAACAUUUCUCAUUUUUAUGAAACCUACAACCUUCUCUUUGCUCUUUGGACAUACUGAAGACCACCCAGUCUGUGUGUAUGCCCCAAACUGAAAUUCUUGCUUCCCAAAUAAAACAUUUUAAACUUAGAGAUUCGUCUGUAUAUUUUAUUUGACUUUGACAGCACCAGGGGCUCCGGCACAAAUCUCCUCCUUCCUUCAAGCCCUUUUCUGCACAGUCCCGUGGGUCUGCCCUGAAAGAAGUCUGAUGAUGACCCAAAGACACAAUGUCACUGGGAGGUAAAUUCAGGAUUGCUUGACCGAAUGGCCCGCCCGAGGUCAUGGAGGCUGCUGGAGGAACAUAAAAUGGUCUUCACCAAGUGAAGCAUCGUCGGUCUUGGCCUGUGUCUAGCUGGAGAAUGUUAAAAUUCUGGGGACACAACAGAAAAGGCACAGUUGUGGGGACCAGGCCAAUGUCAGCGUGAGAACUGGCUCCAUCCCCCUCCCGUGAACUAGCUCUGCGGCCAAGGCAGGUCUGCAUUUCCCGGUCUGUGACACAGAGUCAGUAACAUUGCCUACUUCCCGGGGCUAUUUCCAGAGAAGUGAGGGAAUGGAAUGGGUGUGGAACGCCUGCCAUCUGCAGAGCCCCGCAUGAAACGUCUCUGUCUUUCUGGCCAGCCCUGAGCCAGGGAAGGGACUGGAAGCGCAGCGGGUGGCUGAGGCGGGCUUUCGGCAGCUUUCCCCCAGCCUUGCCCCUCCCCGCCUGCUGAAACACAAUCUAUGGUUAUUGCCUUCCUGGAGAUGUUAGCCGCCCCCUCCAGAGGUGGUUCCAAAUCUAUUUCUCAUUUGGCUGACUUAGGAGAGGCUGCGAAUCGGUCGCUAUGGUUUCUUCAUUUUCUCCUGACAGCUUAGGAAUCAUUUUUCCAGUUAUUCCCAGGGGAGGAAAAAGAAGUGGAGGAAGCCAGUGUUUGGAAUGAGGGGAAGCUCAUGGAUCUGAAAUGCAAACUCUUCUGCAGGAGACCCGGCGCAGCUACAGGGACCCAUCACCUCCCUGCAGGACCCCCACCCAGCCCCCUCCAGCCAGCCCUGUGUGGCUGUGGCCCCGCUGCAGAAACACCUCUCACUUAACGUUCCAGCUUCUCUUCUAUUCGGCCAGGUCACAGCUGCUGACUUUGUGCCUGCUGUAGCAACCCCGAGCCCUCAAAUAAACCCUCCCUCCCAGGGCAGCCUCUCUAAGGGAGGAGACAGACGGUG
RNAcentral lists this long non-coding RNA (1951 nucleotides) under Pongo abelii (Sumatran orangutan). Its description in RNAcentral is "lincRNA". The record is from RNAcentral. Lineage: Eukaryota; Metazoa; Chordata; Mammalia; Primates; Hominidae.